CAUGGUACAAUCGGGAAAGGAGCAAUUCGCUAAAAGAUGGCCUUGCGUCUGAUUAGAUAGUUGGUGGGGUAACGGCCUACCAAGUCGACGAUCAGUAGCCGGACUGAGAGGUUGAACGGCCACAUUGGGACUGAGAUACGGCCCAGACUCCUACGGGAGGCAGCAGUCGGGAAUAUUGCGCAAUGGAGGAAACUCUGACGCAGUGACGCCGCGUAUAGGAAGAAGGUUUUCGGAUUGUAAACUAUUGUCGUUAGGGAAGAGAAAGGACAGUACCUAAGGAGGAAGCUCCGGCUAACUACGUGCCAGCAGCCGCGGUAAUACGUAGGGAGCGAGCGUUAUCCGGAAUUAUUGGGUGUAAAGGGUGCGUAGACGGGAAGAUAAGUUAGUUGUGAAAUCCCUCGGCUUAACUGAGGAACUGCAACUAAAACUGUUUUUCUUGAGUGCAGGAGAGGUAAGUGGAAUUCCUAGUGUAGCGGUGAAAUGCGUAGAUAUUAGGAGGAACACCAGUGGCGAAGGCGACUUACUGGACUGUAACUGACGUUGAGGCACGAAAGUGUGGGGAGCAAACAGGAUUAGAUACCCUGGUAGUCCACACCGUAAACGAUGGAUACUAGGUGUAGGAGAUAUUAAGUCUUCUGUGCCGUCG
RNAcentral lists this ribosomal RNA (646 nucleotides) under uncultured bacterium. RNAcentral's name for it is "bacterial SSU rRNA". It matches the Rfam family "Bacterial small subunit ribosomal RNA", at positions 188 to 851 of the family's 1533-position model. The record is from RNAcentral.